GACGAACGCUGGCGGCGUGCUUAACACAUGCAAGUCGAACGGAAAGGCCCUGCUUUUGUGGGGUGCUCGAGUGGCGAACGGGGGAGUAACACGUGAGUAACCUGCCCUUGACUUUGGGAUAACUUCAGGAAACUGGGGCUAAUACCGGAUAGGAGCUCCUGCUGCAUGGUGGGGGUUGGAAAGUUUCGGCGGUUGGGGAUGGACUCGCGGCUUAUCGGCUUGUUGGUGGGGUAGUGGCUUACCAAGGCUUUGACGGGUAGCCGGCCUGGGAGGGUGACCGGCGACAUGAGGCCUGCGGGACGCCCCAGACUCCUACGGGAGGCAGCGGUGGGGAAUCUUGCACAGUGGGCGGACGCCUGAUGCGGCAGCGCUGCGUGCGUGAUGACGGCCUUCGGGUUGUAAACCGCUUUCGCCUGUGACGAAGCGUGAGUGACGGUAAUGGAUAAAGAAGCACCGGCUAACUACGUG
This 468-nucleotide ribosomal RNA is filed under the name uncultured bacterium. RNAcentral describes it as "partial 16S ribosomal RNA". It matches the Rfam family "Bacterial small subunit ribosomal RNA", at positions 28 to 507 of the family's 1533-position model. The record is from RNAcentral.